Molecule: long non-coding RNA, 2398 nt
Organism: Triticum dicoccoides
Lineage: Eukaryota; Viridiplantae; Streptophyta; Magnoliopsida; Poales; Poaceae
Exons: 3
Source: RefSeq, a predicted model, not a curated record
AAGGACAGGGGCCAACGUGCAAAUGGAAGAUCCGAUCGGGGGAAUCAAAUCCCUAGCGCUCUCAAUCCCCAAAAUCGGGCCUGGCAUCACAUCUCUCUCCCUCACCCUUCCUUCUCCACCUCCGGCCGCCGCCACGGCCAGGCCAGCGUGGUGGUGCGCCUCCGCACCAUAAGCACACCCACCACAAACAUCCACCACUCACCACCAACUUCACCACCAACGCCCAUCUCGCCUGCCGUACCCGCGCGCCUCCACCUGCUGCUGAUUCUCCUUGCUGCUCCCUUCGCCUACCUCGUUGUUGUUCUUCUUCCCGACGUCCUCCUUGCUGCCCUUCCGCUUCUCCUCUGCUUCCCCUCUCCUAGCGCCUCACCCUGCUGCUUCUUCUUCCCCAAACUUUGCUGCCGCUCCUUCCCUCACCUCACAUCCCUGCUGCUGCACUUCUUCUCUCCCAACGCUACUGCUGCUACUGCGCUCUGCUGCUUCCUCUUGCUAACCUGCUGCCACUUCUUCUCUCCUAUCUUCUUCUCCUAUAACCCUUCUGCUACUCCUUCCCUCCUCCUUGUUGCUGCUCUCUCCCUCUCCUAGCGCUGCUGCUUCUCUUCUAUUCAACGCCUGCUGCUGUUCUUCUUCUUGCACCACUGUUGCUGCUCUCUUCUUCCCCUCAACCUCCUGAUGCAGCCUCUUCUUCUUCACUAAACCUCUCCUUUUCUGUACUGCUGAAGCUUACUGCUGCUGCUCUCUCUCUAAAGUUUAUGUAAUUUAAGAUGUUUAGCACAUGUAAUAUUCAGAUUUUAUAAGAGCUUGCAACUUUAUUAUUGUUCAGUUUUUAUCUGUAAAAUUCUAUGUUCCGAAUAGUGUAUGUCUUGUUGCUUUGGAAAUUAACUGAUAUAUGACAUGUUGUUGCUUUGGUAACUAGUGCUCUGUCAGCUUAUAUGUGUGUUCACCCUGUAUUUCUUCUCGAUGUACUCGUUAAUUUUUACUAGUAAUUUUUAGUUGUUAAAUACUGUUGUGUUGAUCCGUGGUACUAGUCUUGUGAUUUGUAUAAUCUCAUCCGUAUAUGCUUAGUCACUCGUGCACUGCUCUUAUUUCGAAGAAACUUGUUCAGUUUUGUAGUAUAUGUUUUAGCUCCAGUACUUGUGUUAAAAAGGUCUGUGAUAUAAAUGCCUCUUCCUUCCCUUAUAUACGUCUGCUAGAUAUAUUUGUGAUCAUCUCUUGUUAUUUUCUUUUGUCGAUGACGAUGUCCUGUGCCAGUAUUUAGUUUCUAAAAUAAUAGCAAAAUACCAAAAAGACAGUAAGAUAAUCUCAACCUCCCCUUGCUUAUUUUCAUUUUCUUUGUCGUCAACCUUGUUUAGUUUAGGUUUUAUUUUCUGCAACUGUCUCUCAAAAUUGUGUUACCUAGAUUUAGCCGAGCACAGUCGUCGUUGCCUAGUCCCUGUGGGAAACAUGACACUCGCGGUUCGGGUGAAAUAUCCCGCUGUACUUGUCAAUAUGAUCCAGGUGAUGCUUUUUCGCCGGAUCCUUCCUUGCCAAAACCGGACUUGCAAUUUGUGGGGGUUCCAUCUGGCCAAGCACCAGACCUUGCAACAAUUCUUCGGCGUCACACAUGAAGGCAUCUGAAAGGUGCUUUUUAAGGCCACUGAGAUGUGGCCAAAGAUGACCGAGGAUCGUGGGUACAACCUGACCCAUCCUGCCAGUUCGGGCUGGACAAGUAAGGCGGAGCGGAUCCAAUGUUCGGCUCCGUUGCCGGAAAACCCAGCAAUCCCACUUCUGACGAAGAUGCUAAUUCCGGCACCCUACCAGGCGCCAGAGAAGAAGGGCCCGGCGGGAAGAAGCGGCCUCCGUCGUAAAGGUACUUCGGACAUGAUGUCUGAAGAUGCCGAAACCCACUCCUCCCCCGCCAACGAGGACGACGAGGGGGAGCAAGAAAGCAACUCUCCCCCUGAGGGGGGAAGAAGAAGAGGAUGGCCGCCACAGAUCUGGAGGCAGAGACGUCCAAGAAGGGGAAGGUCUCCCUCGCAGAUAACUCCGUGUUGGACACUGACAGCAGCUCCGAGUGGUGCCCCAGGGAAAAGCCCCUGGCCGAAUCUCCGGCCCACGCCCUCCCCCAGCGAUCCUCAUCUUUGGGGAAUUCGCUAGAUCCAAAGGUGAUGGACAGUGGGUCACUUCCGGUGGCCACCUAUCCCAAGGCCACGGACGAUGCCGAGGUGUUGUCCUGAAGGACCUUCCCGGGCUAGGGAGAGGUACAGGAGGCCGUCAGGGUGGCGCCAGAGGGUGAUACCUCGGCCGUCGGACACAUGGGGGAGCAAAUCCCCCGGAGACUGGUGAUGGGGGCUGAUACGUCUCCAACGUAUCUAUAAUUUUUGAUUGCUCCAUGCUCUAUUAUCUAUUGUUUUGGACA